RNAcentral lists this ribosomal RNA (253 nucleotides) under uncultured bacterium. RNAcentral's name for it is "partial 16S ribosomal RNA". It matches the Rfam family "Bacterial small subunit ribosomal RNA", at positions 524 to 776 of the family's 1533-position model. The record is from RNAcentral.
UACGAAGGGGGCUAGCGUUGUUCGGAAUCACUGGGCGUAAAGCGCACGCAGGCGGCUUGAUAAGUCAGGGGUGAAAUCCCGGAGCUCAACUUCGGAAUUGCCUUUGAUACUGUCUGGCUUGAGUCCGGGAGAGGUGAGUGGAAUUCCUAGUGUAGAGGUGAAAUUCGUAGAUAUUAGGAAGAACACCAGUGGCGAAGGCGGCUCACUGGCCCGGUACUGACGCUCAUGUGCGAAAGCGUGGGGAGCAAACAGG